Long non-coding RNA from Antechinus flavipes (yellow-footed antechinus), 1774 nucleotides. RefSeq lists it as uncharacterized. The record is from RefSeq and is a predicted model, not a curated record. NCBI's taxonomy places the organism in Eukaryota, Metazoa, Chordata, Mammalia, Dasyuromorphia, Dasyuridae. The transcript has 2 exons.
CAGGAAUGCUUUUGGUCUCAAGAGUGAAAGAUAUGCCCUCCCUUGUUGAAGAGGGAAAUGUUUCAUAUAAGGACGAAAUUGGAGAUCGAUGAUUCCGACAGUAAAAAUAAUAACGUCAUGUGUAUUCGUGCGUGGAUAAUUUGGGCUAACCUUUCCCUUAAACCCCAAACACUUUCCCAAAUACAGCUAAGCACAAACAAUUCCAGUAAGACUCAGAGAGGGCGGAGAAAGCAAGCAGCGCCAGAGACUGCCUUAAACCUAGCAAUCCAUCUGGUUCCACAAAUGCAGCAAAGCGGAUCUUUACAACAGUGGAAGGGCUGGAAGGCACUCGUUUCCAGCCUAAAGAGCAAACACCGGGCUCUGAAAAGCAAGAGAGCCUAGAAAGGACUUCGCUGACUUCGCUGUUACGUUUCUUCACUUCUAGCUAGGGGAGCAGAGGGGAAGGCUGGAAGUGGGGGAGGGAGAGAUCCGAGGGCCCACGCCUGUAGUUGGGGCCAGGGCGAGGGGACGUCUCUCCUGCUCUCCCCUCUCUCGAUCGGGGGCAAAAAAAAAAAAAAAAAACUUGCAACAAGUGGGAGCCGGCGAGGUCGGGUGCCGCGGUGGCAAGCUGAGGUGGAGCUGCGGAGACGCCCAGACCCAGGAGCAAAAAAGCCGGGGGGGGCGUUACUACUUCACCUAGGCUGACUUGAGUGCACCAUGGAUGGAAGUUGGUUGGUAGCUGAUGGAGACAGCUGCUCUUCUCCACAAGAGCUGCCUCCCCAGAUGAUGACUUUUGUUGGCUGCGGCUAUUAUUUACGAUGAAGAAAAUGGGUCUCUUCUCCAGAAUGAUUUCUUCCCUCAAAGGACGUUAUAGGAGUUGGGCUGGAAGCAGACCUGUUUUGUGAGAAACUGAUAUUCCUAAGGCUCUUGGAUUCAGAAUUCCAGACCUUUCCCAUUAGGAUAUGAGUGAAGGUGGUGGUCAAGGUAAUCGAUAAUAGUAGUUUGAUAUUUUCUACCAUCAGUCUUUCAGGGGGCCAUAAUGGUUCAGUCAGGUUCUAUCCUGAGGAUAGCAAUUAAUUAACAGCUGGUGAGCAAAGCUGGCCCUUUCCCACAGGAUGAUGGUCUAAAUUCUAGGAUGAUAGCAUUAGCAUUCUAAAAGAACCCUUUUAAUGAUCCUUUCCUUCCUUUAGAAUGUAAACAGCUCAUCCUUAUUAAGUCCUUUCUGGUUAAUCAUUUAUUUUUAUAUUUCCUAUUUUUCUCUUUACUUUUAUUUGUAUUUUAAAAUUUUCUUUUCAGUUCUGGUUUUUCAUCAGUAAUCUUUUAAAGUCCUCUGUUUCACUGAAGAUCCAUUUUUCUCCUUAUAAUAUUGUAUUCAGUUUUGUUAGGAAAGUUAUUCUAGUUGCAAAAUCUUUUCUUUUGCGUCUAAAAAUAUCUCACUUCAAGUUCUUUGCUCCUUAGUGAUAUCUGCUAAAUCUUAAGUGAUUUUGACUGUAAUUCCCCAAAUUUAAAUACUUUCUGGUUGAUAUUAAGGAAAAUGUUUCCUUCACCUUGCCCAGUAUCUGGCACACAGUAGUGUGUACCAAUACUUUGAGAAAUGCUAAAUCUGUGAAUGAAUAACCUAAUACAAAACUUAGAAUUCUAACAAUACCUGAAUUGUUUCUGGAGAUAUGACUUUUAUUUCUAUCUCUAACUUCUACACAUCUGUUAUUUCUCCUUGGAAGAAUCAUCUUUCUAUGUAUUCUUGAUAUUUUCCAUCAACAAAAUGGAAAUAAAUUAUAUUUAUUCCUCAUUAAAA